This 29-nucleotide non-coding RNA is filed under the name Homo sapiens (human). The record is from RNAcentral. Lineage: Eukaryota; Metazoa; Chordata; Mammalia; Primates; Hominidae.
UCCUAAUGUCUGAGGGUUCCAGUGAGCUU